CCGGUCGCGGACACAGAGAUGUGUCUUUCAGUUCGGCUGGACCGGAUACAGGUGCUGCAUGGCCGUCGUCAGCUCGUGUCGUGAGAUGUUGGGUUAAGUCCCGCAACGAGCGCAACCCUCGCCCUUAGUUGCCAGCAUUUAGUUGGGCACUCUAAGGGGACUGCCGGUGAUAAGCCGAGAGGAAGGUGGGGAUGACGUCAAGUCCUCAUGGCCCUUACGGGCUGGGCUACACACGUGCUACAAUGGUGGUGACAGUGGGCAGCGAGCACGCGAGUGUGAGCUAAUCUCCAAAAGCCAUCUCAGUUCGGAUUGCACUCUGCAACUCGAGUGCAUGAAGUUGGAAUCGCUAGUAAUCGCGGAUCAGCAUGCCGCGGUGAAUACCGGUUCCCGGGCCUU
Molecule: ribosomal RNA, 396 nt
Filed under: uncultured Ochrobactrum sp.
Lineage: Bacteria; Pseudomonadati; Pseudomonadota; Alphaproteobacteria; Hyphomicrobiales; Brucellaceae
Description: bacterial SSU rRNA
Rfam family: Bacterial small subunit ribosomal RNA
Source: RNAcentral